AUGUACCUUGAUGCACGUUACCUAUCCGCAGGUGAAGCAUCUUGGCGUAUCUUUGGAUUUGAACUUCAGCACCGGCAGCCUUCUGUAGAGAGACUGCAAUUCCAUCUUCAAGGUGAGAAAAUUGUCGUGUUCCCGGACUCAACUGAUAUUGAGAAAAUUGUACAUAGACCUGGCAUAGAGGAAACAAUUUUCACUGAAUGGAUGACCGCUAAUCAAUUGUAUGAGGAGGCCCGUAAUCUGACAUAUGCAGAAUUCCCCACUAAGUGGACGUGGCAUGCAAAGGAGAAAAGAUGGAAACCAAGGAAAGGCAGGAAACGGUCUAUUGAGAGGAUCUACAAUGCCCAUCCAGCAAGUGGUGAGAAAUAUUACCUAAGGAUUCUGCUAAAUACUGUCAAAGGUUGUAAAUCAUAUGACGACAUCAGAAAAGUAAAUGGUAUUGUACACCCAACCUAUAAAUCAGCAUGUUAUGCCCUUGGAUUACUCAAUGAUGACCAAGAGUGGGAUGAUUGUAUUAAGGAAGCAUCACACUAG
This 531-nucleotide ribosomal RNA is filed under the name Triticum aestivum (bread wheat). RNAcentral's name for it is "partial small subunit ribosomal RNA". Lineage: Eukaryota; Viridiplantae; Streptophyta; Magnoliopsida; Poales; Poaceae. The record is from RNAcentral.